RNAcentral lists this ribosomal RNA (427 nucleotides) under uncultured bacterium. RNAcentral describes it as "bacterial SSU rRNA". It matches the Rfam family "Bacterial small subunit ribosomal RNA", at positions 355 to 774 of the family's 1533-position model. The record is from RNAcentral.
UAGGGAAUAUUGGACAAUGGGGGCAACCCUGAUCCAGCCAUGCCGCGUGAGUGAAGAAGGCCCUCGGGUUGUAAAGCUCUUUUGUCCGGAAAGAAAAGCUUCGGGUUAAUACCCCGGGGUUCUGACGGUACCGGAAGAAUAAGCACCGGCUAACUUCGUGCCAGCAGCCGCGGUAAUACGAAGGGUGCAAGCGUUACUCGGAAUUACUGGGCGUAAAGCGUGCGUAGGUGGUUGUUUAAGUCUGAUGUGAAAGCCCUGGGCUCAACCUGGGAAUGGCAUUGGAAACUGGGCAGCUAGAGUGCGGUAGAGGGUAGUGGAAUUCCCGGUGUAGCAGUGAAAUGCGUAGGGAUCGGAAGGAACAUCUGUGGCGAAGGCGACUGCCUGGACCAGCACUGACACUGAGGCACGAAAGCGUGGGGAGCAAACA